Molecule: ribosomal RNA, 467 nt
Filed under: uncultured bacterium
Lineage: Bacteria
Description: partial 16S ribosomal RNA
Rfam family: Bacterial small subunit ribosomal RNA
Source: RNAcentral
GACGAACGCUGGCGGCGUGCUUAACACAUGCAAGUCGAACGAUGACGACCGAGCUUGCUCGGUCUGAUUAGUGGCGAACGGGUGAGUAACACGUGAGCAACCUGCCCUUCACUCUGGGAUAACCUCGGGAAAUCGGGGCUAAUACCGGAUAUGAGCUCCUGUCGCAUGGCGGGUGUUGGAAAGUUUUUCGGUGAAGGAUGGGCUCGCGGCCUAUCAGUUUGUUGGUGAGGUAGUGGCUCACCAAGGCGAUGACGGGUAGCCGGCCUGAGAGGGCGACCGGCCACACUGGGACUGAGACACGGCCCAGACUCCUACGGGAGGCAGCAGUGGGGAAUAUUGCACAAUGGGCGAAAGCCUGAUGCAGCGACGCCGCGUGAGGGAUGACGGCCUUCGGGUUGUAAACCUCUUUCAGCAGGGAAGAAGCGAAAGUGACGGUACCUACAAAAGAAGCGCCGGCUAACUACGUG